This is a small nucleolar RNA of Macadamia integrifolia, 102 nucleotides long. Lineage: Eukaryota; Viridiplantae; Streptophyta; Magnoliopsida; Proteales; Proteaceae. The record is from RefSeq and is a predicted model, not a curated record.
AGGCCAUGGUGAGGGCAUUCUUGGAGUAGAUCCUUGAAUCUCUCCAUAAGUUUGGAAAAUGACAGACUUUUGCCUAAACUGAAGGAUAUCACUUCUAAGCUU